Triticum aestivum (bread wheat) is the source of this 115-nucleotide non-coding RNA. The record is from Rfam. Lineage: Eukaryota; Viridiplantae; Streptophyta; Magnoliopsida; Poales; Poaceae.
GAGUUACUCCCUCCGUUCGGAAUUACUUGUCUCAGAAAUUGAUGUAUCUAGAACUAAAAUACAUCUAGAUACAUCCAUUUCUACGACAAGUAAUUCCGAACGGAGGGAGUAUAUG